This 497-nucleotide ribosomal RNA is filed under the name uncultured bacterium. RNAcentral's name for it is "partial 16S ribosomal RNA". It matches the Rfam family "Bacterial small subunit ribosomal RNA", at positions 28 to 507 of the family's 1533-position model. The record is from RNAcentral.
GAUGAACGCUGGCGGCGUGCCUAAUACAUGCAAGUCGAGCGAACAGACGAGGAGCUUGCUCCUCUGACGUUAGCGGCGGACGGGUGAGUAACACGUGGAUAACCUACCUAUAAGACUGGGAUAACUUCGGGAAACCGGAGCUAAUACCGGAUAAUCUAUUGAACCGCAUGGUUCGAUGGUAAAAGACGGUUUUUGUGGCACUUAUAGAUGGAUCCGCGCCGGAUUAGCUAGUUGGUAAGGUAAAGGCUUACCAAGGCGACGAUGCGUAGCCGACCUGAGAGAGUGAUCGGCCACACUGGAACUGAGACACGGUCCAGACUCCUACGGGAGGCAGCAGUAGGGAAUCUUCCGCAAUGGGGGAAAGCCUGACGGAGCAACGCCGAGUGAGUGAUGAAGGUGUUCGGAUCGUAAAACUCUGUUAUUAGGGAAGAACAAAUGUGUAAGUAACUAUGCACGUCUUGACGGUACCUAAUCAGAAAGCCACGGCUAACUACGUG